RNAcentral lists this non-coding RNA (602 nucleotides) under Phaseolus vulgaris (common bean). RNAcentral describes it as "rRNA SSU_rRNA_eukarya". It matches the Rfam family "Eukaryotic small subunit ribosomal RNA", at positions 4 to 605 of the family's 1831-position model. The record is from RNAcentral. Lineage: Eukaryota; Viridiplantae; Streptophyta; Magnoliopsida; Fabales; Fabaceae.
CUGGUUGAUCCUGCCAGUAGUCAUAUGCUUGUCUCAAAGAUUAAGCCAUGCAUGCGUAAGUAUGAACUAAUUCAGACUGUGAAACUGCGAAUGGCUCAUUAAAUCAGUUAUAGUUUGUUUAAUGGUAUCUACUACUCGGAUAAGCGUAGUAAUUCUAGAGCAAAUACGUGCAACAAACCGCGACUUCUCGAAGGGAUGCAUUUAUUAGAUAAUAGGUAAACGCAGACUCUGCUUGUUGCUUUGAAUUUUCAUGAUAACUCUUCGGAUCGCACGACCCUUGUGCCGGCAACACAUCAUUCAAAUUUCUUCCCUAUCAACUUUCGAUUGUAGGAUAGUGGUCUACCAUGGUGGUGAUGGGUGACGAAGAAUUAGGGUUUGAUUCCGGAUAGGGAGCCUGAGAAACGGCUACGAAAUUCAUAAAAGGUAGCAGGCGCGCAAAUUACCAUUCCUGACACGGGGAGGUAGUGACAAUAAAUAACAAUACCGGGCUCAUUCUGUCUGGUAAUUGGAAUGAGUACAAUCUAAAUCCCCGAACGAGGAUCCAUUGGAAAGCAAGUCUGGUGCCAGUAGUCGCAGUAAUUCCAGCUCCAAUAGUGUAUAUU